RNAcentral lists this ribosomal RNA (484 nucleotides) under uncultured bacterium. Its description in RNAcentral is "partial 16S ribosomal RNA". It matches the Rfam family "Bacterial small subunit ribosomal RNA", at positions 28 to 523 of the family's 1533-position model. The record is from RNAcentral.
GACGAACGCUGGCGGCGUGCUUAACACAUGCAAGUCGAACGAUGAAGCCGGAGCUUGCUCUGGUGAAUUAGUGGCGAACGGGUGAGUAACACGUGAGUAACCUGCCCUUGACUCUGGGAUAACUGCUAGAAAUGGUAGCUAAUACCGGAUACGACCCUCGGCGGCAUCGCCAGGGGGUGGAAAGAAUUUCGGUCAAGGAUGGACUCGCGGCCUAUCAGCUAGUUGGUGAGGUAACGGCUCACCAAGGCGACGACGGGUAGCCGGCCUGAGAGGGUGACCGGCCACACUGGGACCGAGACACGGCCCAGACUCCUACGGGAGGCAGCAGUGGGGAAUAUUGCACAAUGGGCGCAAGCCUGAUGCAGCAACGCCGCGUGAGGGAUGACGGCCUUCGGGUUGUAAACCUCUUUUAGUAGGGAAGAAGCGGAAGUGACGGUACCUGCAGAAAAAGCACCGGCUAACUACGUGCCAGCAGCCGCCGUAA